Molecule: ribosomal RNA, 490 nt
Filed under: uncultured bacterium
Lineage: Bacteria
Description: partial 16S ribosomal RNA
Rfam family: Bacterial small subunit ribosomal RNA
Source: RNAcentral
GAUGAACGCUAGCUACAGGCUUAACACAUGCAAGUCGCGGGGCAGCAUGGGGGUUGCUUGCAAUCCCCGAUGGCGACCGGCGCACGGGUGAGUAACGCGUAUCCAACCUGCCCUUCACCACGGGAUAACCCGGCGAAAGUCGGACUAAUACCGUAUGUUGUCCAUUGACGGCAUCCGAUUUGGACGAAAGGCUUGGCGGUGAGGGAUGGGGAUGCGUCCGAUUAGCCAGACGGCGGGGUAACGGCCCACCGUGGCCACGAUCGGUAGGGGUUCUGAGAGGAAGGUCCCCCACACUGGAACUGAGACACGGUCCAGACUCCUACGGGAGGCAGCAGUGAGGAAUAUUGGUCAAUGGGCGUAAGCCUGAACCAGCCAAGUAGCGUGCAGGAUGACGGCCCUAUGGGUUGUAAACUGCUUUUAUGCGGGGAUAAAGUGGCCCACGUGUGGGCUUUUGCAGGUACCGCAUGAAUAAGGACCGGCUAAUUCCGUG